CGCGUGGGAAUCUACCCAACGGUGGGGGAUAGCCCGGGGAAACUCGGAUUAAUACCGCAUAACAUCUACGGAUCAAAGGUGGCCUCUCCUUGGAAGCUAUUGCCGAUGGAUGAGCCCGCGUUAGAUUAGCUAGUUGGUGAGGUAAAGGCUCACCAAGGCGACGAUCUAUAGCUGGUCUGAGAGGAUGAUCAGCCACACUGGGACUGAGACACGGCCCAGACUCCUACGGGAGGCAGCAGUGGGGAAUAUUGCACAAUGGGCGCAAGCCUGAUGCAGCCAUGCCGCGUGUGUGAAGAAGGC
Molecule: ribosomal RNA, 300 nt
Filed under: uncultured Gammaproteobacteria bacterium
Lineage: Bacteria; Pseudomonadati; Pseudomonadota; Gammaproteobacteria
Description: bacterial SSU rRNA
Rfam family: Bacterial small subunit ribosomal RNA
Source: RNAcentral